This 497-nucleotide ribosomal RNA is filed under the name uncultured bacterium. Its description in RNAcentral is "partial 16S ribosomal RNA". It matches the Rfam family "Bacterial small subunit ribosomal RNA", at positions 28 to 507 of the family's 1533-position model. The record is from RNAcentral.
GAUGAACGCUGGCGGCGUGCCUAAUACAUGCAAGUCGAGCGAACGGACGAGAAGCUUGCUUCUCUGAUGUUAGCGGCGGACGGGUGAGUAACACGUGGAUAACCUACCUACAAGACUGGGAUAACUUCGGGAAACCGGAGCUAAUACCGGAUGAUAUUUUGAACCGCAUGGUUCAAAAGUGAAAGACGGUCUUGCUGUCACUUAUAGAUGGAUCCGCGCUGCAUUAGCUAGUUGGUAAGGUAACGGCUUACCAAGGCAACGAUGCAUAGCCGACCUGAGAGGGUGAUAGGCCACACUGGAACUGAGACACGGUCCAGACUCCUACGGGAGGCAGCAGUAGGGAAUCUUCCGCAAUGGGCGAAAGCCUGACGGAGCAACGCCGCGUGAGUGAUGAAGGUAUUCGGAUCGUAAAACUCUGUUAUUAGGGAAGAACAUAUGUGUAAGUAACUGUGCACAUCUUGACGGUACCUAAUCAGAAAGCCACGGCUAACUACGUG